AUUGAACGCUGGCGGAAUGCUUUACACAUGCAAGUCGAGCGGCAGCGCGGGGCAACCUGGCGGCGAGCGGCGAACGGGUGAGUAAUGCAUCGGAACGUACCCAGUCGUGGGGGGAUAACUGUCCGAAAGGACAGCUAAUACCGCAUACGUCCUGCGGGAGAAAGCGGGGGAUCGCAAGACCUCGCGCGAUUGGAGCGGCCGAUGCCGGAUUAGCUAGUUGGUAGGGUAAAGGCCUACCAAGGCGACGAUCCGUAGCUGGUCUGAGAGGACGACCAGCCACACUGGAACUGAGACACGGUCCAGACUCCUACGGGAGGCAGCAGUGGGGAAUUUUGGACAAUGGGGGGCAACCCUGAUCCAGCCAUUCCGCGUGAGUGAAGAAGGCCUCGGUUGUAA
Molecule: ribosomal RNA, 396 nt
Filed under: uncultured bacterium
Lineage: Bacteria
Description: bacterial SSU rRNA
Rfam family: Bacterial small subunit ribosomal RNA
Source: RNAcentral